CUAAAUAUGAGUCAGGCACAUCAUUUAAUUUUUUAAUCCUUGGAACAAUGAAUGGCAUGAGGCAGGUCCCAUUAUGUGCAUUUCACAAUUUGGAACACUUUGUGGAGAAAGGUAAAUAGCUUGCCAUGAACUCAUGGGUAGGCAGCCUGCCACAGCCUCCAGAACCACAUGAUGGUAGGGGAGAAAGAGAAAUAGGAAGUGAGGAUUUAGAAACAGCAUUAAAAACAAAGAUUGCUGGAGUUCAGAAUAGCAACGUUUUAGAUCUGUCAUUUUCCAGAAACAUCUCUGCAUGCAUAGUUAUUUACCUUGGUGCCAGACCGGAACUUGGGGGCUGUUUUCAUUUCUAGGUGAAAGCUCCUUGGCUUUGUGUAACCAUCGAUUUACUCUUAAAAAAGAAAAAAAAUCCUGGAGCUGAGUUUUGGUCUCUACCCAACAUAGAAUUCUAGGCGUUGGUUAGAAUAUUGACUUUUUAGUAAGAGGAGAAAAACGGCUUUUUGAGAAGGGAAAAUUAGAUUCACAAGUUUCAAAUAUUGCAGCAAAGUAAUUCUUAUCUGACUUUGAAAUCUUUUCCAUACCAAAAAAGCAUCAGUGAGAUGCUCCCCUGCCUGCCAGUGGCAAGAUUCAGGGCUUGCGUUUUGGAAGCUUCUCCCUGUGUGGUCGGGCCAUCACAGCCACAUUUCACAAUUUCUUUUUAACUCUUUCUGUGCCCCUCCCUCCUCCCCGGUGGCUGAAAGCACCAGCUCAGAGCAAACGUGUCCAAUGCUGGGCUGCCCGGCGACUUCCGCGAGGUGCUCCAGCAGCGGCUGGGGGAGCUGGAGAGGCAGCUUCUGCGCAAGGUGGCAGAGCUGGAGGACGAGAAGUCCCUGCUGCACAAUGAGACCUCGGCUCACCGGCAGAAGACCGAGAGCACCCUGAACGCGCUGCUGCAGAGGGUCACCGAGCUGGAGCGAGGUCUUUCCAGGCCUUCCCUGCAUCCUCUGCCUUCCCUCCCCCGGCCACUCCCCGUCUUAGCAGGAGCCACUGCCUGGACUUCCCUCGCGUACCUGCUGCUGGUUUCAUGUCACCUUCCCUGCCUGAAUGUAAGCUCCCUAAGGACAAGGACUCCAUCUUGUGUCCUGAAUCCUGCCAGACUUCAGCCUUUUAUCAGUGGCUGGUGUGGAGCGGUCUUUGGUCG
This 1174-nucleotide long non-coding RNA is filed under the name Homo sapiens (human). RNAcentral's name for it is "HSALNT0126133". Lineage: Eukaryota; Metazoa; Chordata; Mammalia; Primates; Hominidae. The record is from RNAcentral.